Molecule: transfer RNA, 60 nt
Filed under: Cordylochernes scorpioides
Lineage: Eukaryota; Metazoa; Arthropoda; Arachnida; Pseudoscorpiones; Chernetidae
Description: tRNA-Gly
Rfam family: tRNA
About the family: Transfer RNA (tRNA) molecules are approximately 80 nucleotides in length. Their secondary structure includes four short double-helical elements and three loops (D, anti-codon, and T loops).
Source: RNAcentral
GUGGUUCAGUGGUAGAAAGCUCGCCUGCCACGUGGGCGGCCCGGGUUCGAUUCCCGGCCG